Molecule: ribosomal RNA, 39 nt
Filed under: Dactylonectria macrodidyma
Lineage: Eukaryota; Fungi; Ascomycota; Sordariomycetes; Hypocreales; Nectriaceae
Description: partial 18S ribosomal RNA
Source: RNAcentral
GGAGGGAUCAUUACCGAGUUUACAACUCCCAAACCCCUG